UACGGGGGGGGCAAGCGUUGUUCGGAAUUACUGGGCGUAAAGGGCUCGUAGGUGGCCAACUAAGUCGGACGUGAAAUCCCUCAGCUUAACUGGGGAACUGCGUCCGAUACUGGAUGGCUCGAGUUUGGGAGAGGGAUGCGGAAUUCCAGGUGUAGCGGUGAAAUGCGUUGAUAUCGACCGGAACUCCGGUGGCGAAGGCGAGGUGCUGGACCCUUUCUGACGCUGAGGCGCGAAAGCCAGGGGAGCAAACGGG
Molecule: ribosomal RNA, 253 nt
Filed under: uncultured bacterium
Lineage: Bacteria
Description: partial 16S ribosomal RNA
Rfam family: Bacterial small subunit ribosomal RNA
Source: RNAcentral